GACAGCGCCUGGUGAUCGGCUCCUUACCAGCUCACCUCUCGCCGCACAUGUUUGGAGGAUUUAAGUGCCCUGUAUGCUCAAAAUUUGUACCCUCAGAUGAAAUGGAUUUGCAUCUUGUAAUGUGUUUAACAAAGCCAAGAAUAACCUAUAAUGAGGAUGUACUGAGUAAAGAUGCUGGGGAAUGUGCAAUAUGCCUUGAAGAAUUGCAGCAGGGAGAUACUAUAGCACGACUGCCUUGUCUAUGCAUAUAUCAUAAAGGCUGCAUAGAUGAAUGGUUUGAAGUAAAUAGAUCUUGCCCUGAGCACCCUUCAGAUUAAGCAUCAGCUUCCUGUUUUAUAGGUUUUCUCGUCUUCACAAGAUGCUUGAAAAACCAAGAGGAUAUGAAGAUCUGUCUCUGGAGAAACAAAAAUGCAGGCAUACUCAGCCAGAAAUCUGAGUUUUGUGAGACUUGGUAAUACAGAGAUGGACAAUCAUACUGGGGUAAAAACCCUGCUGAAGAAAGGACAGUGACCACAGAACUCAGUGUACCAAACAUGCAUACAAAGGACACACAGGGAUUUUGAAAAUGCUGCAUAUCCCUUAAUAGUCAUCUACAUAGGUAAUACUGAUAAACAUUUUGUAUUCAGAUGCCAAAGUUAACUGAUUUCAAAGUUGAUUUACUUUUUAUUAAGUUCUCCAGAGCUGCACAACUAGUUAUGUUUUGAUUUGUUUUGUUUUUCAGUUUGGGGUCUCUUUGUUUUCCCCAACAUAAUGUUCCUGCAUUCAUCUGUUCUUAAAUUGAAAAACAUAUAAUUUACUUCUUAUAAAUUAAAGUGUUAAAUGUGAAACCAAGAAAUGUAAUCAAGCAGUAAAAACAUUCUCUGAAUGUAGACCAUGAUCUCAAGUUCUUCCAUUUUUUCCCCCAAGAGUGAAAAAUAGACUUCUACAUAGGAAAGCUAAAAUAUGUUAAUAUUUUUAAAUUAAAGGUUUAAUAUCAGAAUGCAGUCCAAAGAGCAAAUCACAUUACAUAAUUACAUUUUAAUUAAAUAUAGAAUAUUCUACUGAAUUGCAAUUUAUUAAAUAUUCUUAUCCUCUUAAAUAAAACUGCUCAGCAGUUAAUCAGCAGUGAAUCAUCUUGCAGCUAUGCAACUUAAAAAAAAUACAGAUUACCAAUUUUAAGUGCUGCCAGCUAAAAUAACUGUUUUAACGGGUAUCUUUUGUUUGUUCUUUUCAUGUAAUUAUUUUAUUGUGCUUUGCAUCUCCAGGCAGUUCUCUCAAAUUUGGGUAAAAUGUUCAGCAGGCUGUAAACUUAAGAAAAGGGUAAAAUAAAAUUUUCUGGAGUGAAACUUGGAAUAAUUUGAGGGAGAUUUUAUAUACCUUAAAAAAUUGUAACUUAAUUGGGAUGCCAGAUUUAUAACAAUUUGCAUCUUUAAUUUUCCAGAUAAUCUGGAGGUUAGCAUUUGAUAAAUGAUUUUUUUAAAGUAGAUAUGAAGAUUUUGUUAAUUUAUAAUUUAUUCAUGUGUUAUUACUGUAAUUGAAAAUGUUAUAGACACUUUUAAAUUCAGUUUGUAUAGAAAGAAAUGUGUUAAACAAAAUUAUGUUAAUAAAUAUUCCCACAUAAUACAUCUGAAUGGUUAAAAAUACUGGAAGAGUUGUCAGGGCUACAAUAGUGAAUGUCUUUUUUUUUUUAAUAUCAAAAAUAUCGAUAAGUAGGUUUUGUGUUUUCAACAUAGGGAAAAUGUUAUCAGUGACUAGGUGGUGCACUUUACUUGGUAUAAUUGAAAGUUGCACAGUAAGUACUGUUUCCUUGUUUUAAUCUUUCUUUACUCCUAAUGUAUUUAAGAAUUUGCUGUUUUAUUUAACGCUGCUACUCUUAAUCUUCUCUAAAUUUUUUCCCCUACUUUUUCUGGCUUCUGUUUCACAUUUUUUAAAAGGGCAAGUACAGGAGCAACUGCUGCUACCCAGAAAAAUUUGUGUAUUAUAAAUAAUUAAGAGUUUUUAAUUGCUUUUUGUAUGAUUCCAGAUCAGAUAACAUUUUCCCUGAAGUUAUGCUGUGAAAUGCCUUUUGUUAUGCUGCAAUUGCUAAAGGAAUCCAAAACCUCCAUUUUGACAGCUGAAGGCACAGUUUAAUAGGUGCUUUUUAACUAGUUAUGGAAAAUAUUCGUCCCUUAACGAAACAAUUCUUUUUCUGAUUUUUUUCUGUUACCAUGAAGUCUUAAUUUGAAUUCAUUUUAUUUCAUGUUUUCGAUUUUGUAAGCUUUUAUACCCUCCUGCCCAGCCUCCUCAAGUACAACCUCUUAGAAUGUGAAUAAUUGAUUCAUUUUCUAUCACUGGUAUACUGUUGUGAUGAAAAUUGUUUUGUUGUCUUCCGUUCUUAAAGGAAGAGAUUUAUUACAGCUGUGAGGAUUAACUAUAUUCUCCUGGAAGUUGAUUUUGUGAUAGGUUAAUGCAAAAGUCAUUGCAAAAACUGCCAUUACUUUUGCACCAAUUUAAUAGUUCCGUUGUUUACUUUCUAACCUAUAUUGGCUUAAAUUCACUUUUUAGCCCCUCUUUGUCAUAAGGUUCUGUGCUGCAUUUGCUACAAUAGAAGCUCCUAUGGUUUUAAAGAAAGUUCAGUGUUUGUCAGUGUCAAGUGCUACUUGAUUAUUAUAUUUGUCUGGAACAGUAUUCACUUAAAUCUGUUUAUAGCAAUCCCUUUUUUGACAAAAUUUACAAAGUUGACAUUUUUACUUUAAAUUCAAUCUCUGUCAGUGACUUCCUAAAAAGAACAACUUAGAAAUUGAGGGAAAAAAAUGUUUUUAAAGCCCAAAUGUUCCAGUUUUUAUUCAAAGUCAAAGUCAUUAUUCUGGAAAAUACAAGCAAUAUGCUAUAUAAUGUCACUUAAAAUAUUUGUAAAUUUAUUAUGCAAACACUGAAUAGUAUAAGUAAGAUAUAAAAUCACAAUAGAUAUUUAAAUACUAAGCUGAAACUACUGACAACUAAUUAUUAUGAGGGAUACAAUAAAGAUUGAAAGCCUAGGUUAUCAAGUUGGUUUUAGCUUUCUAGAAUCUUUGUAAAUACUCAUGUUCAAAUAAGAUCACACAUGCAUAUGUAGAAAGCAAUAUGUUCUGAAAGUUCACUUUAGUGCCACUGUUUGUCCAUAAUGGAUUUAUUGCCAAUUUUGAAUCCUCACCUUACUUUGAUCUGGCUUUUUUUUUUUUUUUUUUUCCCCUUACCAGAAUGUUUAGGAGAAAGUAAAAUUAUUCUGUUUUACUUUGGCUUUUUGCCAGAGAUACAGACUAUAGUCUUAAUAUGUGUUUUUCAGAUCUGGUUACAAGACGGAUUAUAGAUUGUGUUUUAAGAGCAGUGUUGUAAUUGAAAUAUAAAUAACGGCAUAACUUUUUUCGUGUUAGCAAAAACAACAUUAAAAAGGUUAUGUUACAUAAUAUGUAGGUUUUGGUUUCUUAGUGCAACUCUUAUAUUUCUUUUAAAUGUUACGUAGUUAUUUCAGUUUUCACUCUAGCUACUUUACUAAAAUGUAGCCCCCAAAUAGCCUCAGCAUAUCUGCCAUAUGUAUUUCAAAGAUUACAGUCUGAAUGAGUUAAUGAAAAUGGCAGGUUCCUUUUCAAAGUUUGUUUGACUCACAGCCAUAUUGCUAAGUUUGGGUAUAGUGAAGUUAAAAACAGUCACUUAAAUUAGUAUCUUAUAGCAAGAUAUACUGACAUUGUUUUAAAUGAGAAAGACUGUAAACUCAUUGUAAAUAUUACCUAACAUAAGAGUGGAAGAGGGGAAUUUUUUAAAAAAUAAGCUAUAUUUGAACAAAGCAUGAAACUCUUGUUUUAAAAUUUAAGAAUAAUUGAAUUUACCAUCUAAUUGACAUCUGUACUGUGCAUUGAUAGUAAUAUCCAAAUCAUCUUAUUCUUUCACUGAGGAAGUUCUCAUAUAAAUCAAAUUGCUGAGAACUAUAUAAAACUACAUAGAGGUAAAUGGUGCUUAUUAAAUAUGAGUAUAGUUUGUUACUUGCUGGAAGUCUUCUAGUUCAUUUGGACCAUUUUCUAACAAUUUUGAUUGAUCCUGAGGUGAGCUCAGUAUCUAUUGGCAAUGAGUGAUUAAAUGUGAAGUGCCCUUGUUCAGUGUCCCUUGUUCUUGUACAGGUAUUUUCUUAGUUUAAAAAAAAAAAAAAAUUCUAGCAUGCGAACAUUUGUCUUUGGCCUAUUCCCUUUUUUCUGAAGUGUGUAACUUCUGAUUUUUUCUUUGCUGUGUUGUGAAUAACAGUAGUUAAAUUCUCUGUUUUACUAUCUACUUUUCUUUUCUCCCCAAAUCUUUUCAUUCUAAAACUAAAUUGCUUGGUUUUCUUUAGAGGAAAUUGCUACGUGGUGUACUCAUAGUGAUUCAUAUUCAAGAAUAGCUGAUAAACCUUUCUAGGUAAUAACUUAUCCAAACAAUACUUUGAGUAUCAUAUUUUGUGAAUGCCUUGCUUAAGCUAGGAAACUGAAUAUUCUUUUUAAAUCAUAGAAUUCCUGUAUUAAAUGUGAGCACACAGUCUCCAAAGUCACCUGAUUCUCUGUGGAAAAUGAAAGGCACUGAAGGAAACCAGAUAUGUUAAUACUUAGUUUUAGUUGAAAAUGCAACAUUACUGUACUUAGAGCGGGGGUUGGUUUAUUUUUAGAUAUUUAAGCUAUCAUUAAUUUUAGACCAAUGGCUAAUAAUAAGAGCGAUUUUUGGUUGCUCAUUUAUGGAGAGACAAAGAACAGCACGGCAUAAACUUACAUCACAGAAAUAAAUGAAAAACUUUAAGUGAUAAAACUGUGUUUUCUAUGAACCAGCAUUGUAUAUGAACCAACAUUGUGUUUCUUAGCUCUGACCUGAACAGUGAGGUACCUCAGGACCCCUAGACUUGGCACUAGAAAUGACAGAGUUCUCCUGUUACUAAAUUCUCAUGCUUUCCUUUUCUGACCUAGUAGGUUGAAAUUGGUGGGCACUGAUGAUUUAUGUUUGAUAAAGUUCUGCUUGUAUCCUGUUACUGGUAAUUCUGGCACCAAAAUCUCAAAAGGUUUGAUUAUUAGUAGCAUUUUGAGUACCUGUGUUCAUAUAAUACAGUUAGCAGACCCUUAUAGAAGUCAAAAGAGAUUUUGGAAUUUGGUGAUACUGGUCUUUAUAACACUAGCCUAUUACAUUUUCUUUCUUUAUAAUAACUGUUUAUGUGAGUUUCAUUGAAAAUCAUGGCUCUAUUGCUUUAUUCAUGGUUUCCACAACUCUUUCUGUAACACCUUAAUUUUCUCUCUUAGGUAUUUUCCUGUUAAAUAAGAUAUCAAAAGCAUCAAUCACAAGACAGAGAAAAUGUAUUAGGAACAGCUUGUAUUAGUAUAUUCUAAAUUGAAAUGAAAAAGCUCAUUAUUCCUAUUUUAAUAAAUAAAACUCCCAAAUGAUCUUGCUAAAUUAUCCCAUUAUUUAGAAGUAGAAAAUAAGAGUGCUUUCAUGGAAAUUUGUCAUAUUCUCCCUUCUAUCUAGAGGUUGACAAUAAAUUGCAAUAAAACUAAGAAAUAGCUGAAUGCUGAAAAAUACCAUCAAUUAAUGUUAUGGCUUCUUUAUUUUUGUAUAUCCAUUCCCACAAAUUGAAUUUAAAAUUAUUAAUGAAAAUUCUAUAAUAAGUAAUAAUGCGUGUAUUAGUACUGGGCAAAGAAGUCUUUCUUUGUUACAUUAACCAUUAGUAAAAGAUGUACUUUGACAUUUCUGAUGUAAAACCUAUAUGUAAAUGUUGUAAUUGAAAUAUGAUUGGACAGCUGUCAAGUUUUGGGGAGGGAAGCAGAUGCCGGCGUUCUCUGCUGAAAAGACAAGAUGGCACUUGACAGACCACAGCAGAUGGAGCCGGAAGAGGAAAAGGCAGGCAGUGGACUCUGCCAGUAUUAUCUGUUCAAGAUUGAAGAACUGCAGCUGUUUUUGAAUGAUAAGACCCUAAACCUUUGGAGGCAGCAGGUGCACAGGAAUGAACUAAAUACUAAAGUGUGCCGAUUUCAGGAGGAGCUACAGCUGCUGCAGGAACAGGACUCCUAUGUCGGGGAAGUAGUCCAGGCCAUGGAUAAGAAGAAAGUGUUGGUCCAGGUGCAUCCCAAGAACAAGUUUGUCGUAGAUGUGGACAAAAAUAUCAGCAUCAGUGACGUGACACCCAGUUCCCUGGUGGUUCUAAGAAAUGACAGCUACACUUUGUACAAGAUCCUACCCAACAAGGUGGACUCAUUGGUGUCACUGAUGAUGGUGAAGAAAGCACCAGAUUCGACUUAUAAAUUAAUUGGUAGACUGGAUAGGCAGAUCAAGGAGAUCAAAGAAGUGAUCGACCUGCCUGCUAAGCAUCCCCAGCUCUUCAAAGUACUGGGCAUUGCACAGCCCAAGGGAGUGCUGCUUGGAAGACACUGUUGGCCUGGGCCCUGGCUUAUCAUAGGGACUGUACCUUUAUUCAUAUCUCUGGCUCUGAAUUGGUACAGAAAUUAAUUGGGGAAUUUCUGUGAUGGCAGAGAAAAUCCUCAUCUGUCAUCUUCACGGAUGAAAUCGACUUGAUUGGCACCUCAUAGCUGGAGGGGGUUGCUGGAGGGACCAGUGAAGUGCAGCAGACAAUGCUUCGAGGAUGGCUUUGAGGGUACCAAGAGUAUCACGGUGUAUCACGGCUACUAAUACGAUUGAUAUCCUGUACUCGGCACUGCUUUGCCCAGGGCACAUUGACAGAAAAAUUGAGUUCCCACCCCGCAAUGAGGGGGCCUGACUGGACACUUUCAACUCUUUCAAGAUUCAUUCUCAGAAAUCAACCUGACCCAGGGGAUCAACCUGAGAAAAAUUGCUGAGCUUAUGUCAGGAGCAUCGGGCUGGAGUGAAGGGCAUGUGCACAGAAACCGGCCUGUAUGCUCUGAGUUAACAGUGAGUCCAUGUUACUCAGAAGGACUUUGAGAUAGUACAAAGUCCUGCCUCAUGCCAAAGGACAGUGAGGAAAAACAUGUCCAUCAAGAAACUAUGGAAUUGAGUGGACAUCUUUUGUGUGUAUCCCUACAAUAAAACUCAGUGGAACA
Molecule: RNA transcript, 7016 nt
Organism: Mandrillus leucophaeus (drill)
Lineage: Eukaryota; Metazoa; Chordata; Mammalia; Primates; Cercopithecidae
Gene name: 26S protease regulatory subunit 8-like
Exons: 6
Source: RefSeq, a predicted model, not a curated record